Molecule: ribosomal RNA, 468 nt
Filed under: uncultured bacterium
Lineage: Bacteria
Description: partial 16S ribosomal RNA
Rfam family: Bacterial small subunit ribosomal RNA
Source: RNAcentral
GACGAACGCUGGCGGCGUGCUUAACACAUGCAAGUCGAACGGAAAGGCCCUGCUUUUGUGGGGUGCUCGAGUGGCGAACGGGUGAGUAACACGUGAGUAGCCUGCCCUUGACUUUGGGAUAACUUCGGGAAACUGGGGCUAAUACCGGAUAGGAGCUCCUGCUGCAUGGUGGGGGUUGGAAAGUUUCGGCGGUUGGGGAUGGACUCGCGGCUUAUCAGCUUGUUGGUGGGGUAGUGGCUUACCAAGGCUUUGACGGGUAGCCGGCCUGAGAGGGUGACCGGCCACAUUGGGACUGAGAUACGGCCCAGACUCCUACGGGAGGCAGCAGUGGGGAAUAUUGCACAAUGGGCGGAAGCCUGAUGCAGCAACGCCGCGUGCGGGAUGACGGCCUUCGGGUUGUAAACCGCUUUCGCCUGUGACGAAGCGUGAGUGACGGUAAUGGGUAAAGAAGCACCGGCUAACUACGUG